GUAGGGAAUAUUGGGCAAUGGUCGGAAGACUGACCCAGCCAUGCCGCGUGCAGGAAGACGGCCCUCUGGGUUGUAAACUGCUUUUAUCUGGGAAGAAAAAGGCCAUGCGUGGCAAAUUGCCGGUACCAGAUGAAUAAGCACCGGCUAACUCCGUGCCAGCAGCCGCGGUAAUACGGAGGUGCGAGCGUUGUCCGGAUUUAUUGGGUUUAAAGGGUGCGUAGGCGGCUGAUUAAGUCAGCGGUGAAAGACUUCGGCUUAACCGGAGCAGUGCCGUUGAUACUGGUUGGCUUGAGUGUCGGAGGGGUACAUGGAAUUGAUGGUGUAGCGGUGAAAUGCAUAGAUACCAUCAGGAACACCGAUAGCGAAGGCAUUGUACUGGCCGACAACUGACGCUGAUGCACGAAAGUGUGGGGAUCGAACAGGAUUAGAUACCCUUGUAGUCC
This 443-nucleotide ribosomal RNA is filed under the name uncultured bacterium. Its description in RNAcentral is "partial 16S ribosomal RNA". It matches the Rfam family "Bacterial small subunit ribosomal RNA", at positions 354 to 796 of the family's 1533-position model. The record is from RNAcentral.